Molecule: transfer RNA, 632 nt
Filed under: uncultured Prochlorococcus sp.
Lineage: Bacteria; Bacillati; Cyanobacteriota; Cyanophyceae; Synechococcales; Prochlorococcaceae
Description: partial 16S-23S ribosomal RNA intergenic spacer
Rfam family: tRNA (bases 238-310)
Source: RNAcentral
UGUGAUGCCUGAAUUAACUAUUUUUAGGCCAUAAUCCUGUCACCUUAGGUCGAUCGGUACCUCUAUUUAAAUAAAUACUUCUAAGAAAUUAGCUUUUAUUUUUUAAAUUCAGUUCCUAAACUUUGUCUAGGUCACACCCAGCAAUGGUUCUCCUGGGCCAUUAGCUCAGGUGGUUAGAGCGCACCCCUGAUAAGGGUGAGGUCCCUGGUUCAAGUCCAGGAUGGCCCAUUCGGUGUUGGGGGUAUAGCUCAGUUGGUAGAGCGCCUGCUUUGCAAGCAGGAUGUCAGCGGUUCGAGUCCGCUUACCUCCACUGAUCAUCCUUCUGAUAGCGAAGUUUAAGGAGUUUAUUGCUGAGUGAUCUAGAAUUUGUUCAUUAUGAAUUAGCGAACCUAGCUUCUUGUUAUUCCUAUUUAAGACUUAAUUAAAAUAGGUUGAUAAGACGCUGGGCUCACUGCAAUGACAAUUGCAGCUUAGUUCGGUAGAACCUUGACAACUGCAUAGGUGAGUCUGGAAAGAAUAAAGCAUCUCAUGGAUGCAUUAUCUUCUAAUUUUUAUUAGUUUUUCUUUUGAGAAACUAAUAUUUUAAGGAAGAAAAUGUUUGAUUCUUGAGCAAGAGCCGAGACUCUAUGACG